AGUGAACGCUGGCGGUGGGCUUAACACAUGCAAGUCGAACGGCAGCGCAGUAAGAGCUUGCUCUUCCGGGGGGGGAGUGGCGGACGGGAGAGGAAAACAUCGGGAUCUACUUUUUCGUGGGGGUUAACGUAGGUAAACUUACGCUCAUACCGCAUACGACCUUGCAGUGAAGGGAGUGGAUCUUCUGACCUUGCGCGAUUGGAUGAGCCGCUGUCGGAUUGGCUAGUUGGCGGGGUGAAGACCCACCAAGUGGCCGAUCCGUAGCUGGUGGGUGUGGAUGGUAGGCGGCACUAGAGCGUAGACACGCUCCAGGCGACUGCGAGAGGCAGCAGAGUGGAAUAUUGGACAAUAGGCGCAAGCCUGAUCCAGCCAUACCGCGUGGGUGAAGAAGGCCUUCGGGUUGUAAAGACCGUUUUUUGGGAAAGAAAAGCAGCAGGUUAUUACCCCGCUGUUCUGACGGUACCCAAAGAAUAAGCACCGGCUAACUUCGUG
Molecule: ribosomal RNA, 492 nt
Filed under: uncultured bacterium
Lineage: Bacteria
Description: partial 16S ribosomal RNA
Rfam family: Bacterial small subunit ribosomal RNA
Source: RNAcentral